This 467-nucleotide ribosomal RNA is filed under the name uncultured bacterium. RNAcentral's name for it is "partial 16S ribosomal RNA". It matches the Rfam family "Bacterial small subunit ribosomal RNA", at positions 28 to 506 of the family's 1533-position model. The record is from RNAcentral.
GACGAACGCUGGCGGCGUGCUUAACACAUGCAAGUCGAACGGAAAGGCCCUGCUUUUGUGGGGUGCUCGAGUGGCGAACGGGUGAGUAACACGUGAGUAACCUGCCCUUGACUUUGGGAUAACUUCAGGAAACUGGGGCUAAUACCGGAUAGGAGCUCCUGCUGCAUGGUGGGGGUAGGAAAGUUUCGGCGGUUGGGGAUGGACUCGCGGCUUAUCAGCUUGUUGGUGGGGUAGUGGCUUACCAAGGCUUUGACGGGUAGCCGGCCUGAGAGGGGGACCGGCCCAAUUGGGAAUGAGAAACGGCCCAAUCACGCACGGGAGGGAGAGGGGGGGUAUGUUCAGCAAUGGGCGGAGCUCUAAUACAGCAACGCCGGGUGGGGGAAUACGCCCUUGGGGUUUGAAACCGCUUUCGCCUGGGACGAGGGGUGAGUGAGGGUAAUGGGUAAAGAAACACCGGAUAACCAGGU